Molecule: ribosomal RNA, 476 nt
Filed under: uncultured Acidobacteriota bacterium
Lineage: Bacteria; Pseudomonadati; Acidobacteriota
Description: bacterial SSU rRNA
Rfam family: Bacterial small subunit ribosomal RNA
Source: RNAcentral
AUCCNUGGUCAGAAUCAACGCUGGCGGCGUGCCUAACACAUGCAAGUCGAACGCGAAAGCCCCGCAAGGGGCAAGUAGAGUGGCAAACGGGUGAGUAACACGUGGGUGACCUGCCUUCGAGCGGGGGAUAACGUCCCGAAAGGGACGCUAAUACCGCAUAACAUCCUGCCUUUGAAGAGGUGGUGAUCAAAGCUGGGGAUCGCAAGACCCGGCGCUCGAAGAGGGGCCCGCGUCUGAUUAGCUAGUUGGUGGGGUAACGGCCUACCAAGGCAACGAUCAGUAUCCGGCCUGAGAGGGCGGACGGACACACUGGGACUGAGACACGGCCCAGACUCCUACGGGAGGCAGCAGUGGGGAAUUGUUCGCAAUGGGCGCAAGCCUGANNAANCAACGCCGCGUGGAGGAUGAAGAUUUUCGGANAGUAAACUCCUGUCGAAUGGGACGAACAGAUUGCGGGUGAACAGCCGGUAGUCNUG